This 465-nucleotide ribosomal RNA is filed under the name uncultured bacterium. Its description in RNAcentral is "partial 16S ribosomal RNA". It matches the Rfam family "Bacterial small subunit ribosomal RNA", at positions 28 to 507 of the family's 1533-position model. The record is from RNAcentral.
GAUGAACGCUGGCGGCGUGCUUAACACAUGCAAGUCGAACGGAAAGGCUCCUGCUUGCAGGGGUACUCGAGUGGCGAACGGGUGAGUAACACGUGGGUGAUCUGCCCUGCACUUCGGGAUAAGCCUGGGAAACUGGGUCUAAUACCGGAUAGGACGAUGGUUUGGAUGCCAUUGUGGAAAGUUUUUCGGUGUGGGAUGAGCUCGCGGCCCAUCAGCUUGUUGGUGGGGUAAUGGCCUACCAAGGCGUCGACGGGUAGCCGGCCUGAGAGGGUGUACGGCCACAUUGGGACUGAGAUACGGCCCAGACUCCUACGGGAGGCAGCAGUGGGGAAUAUCGCACAAUGGGCGCAAGCCUGAUGCAGCGACGCCGCGUGGGGGAUGACGGCCUUCGGGUUGUAAACUCCUUUCGCUAGGGACGAAGCGCAAGUGACGGUACCUGGAGAAGAAGCACCGGCUAACUACGUG